Molecule: long non-coding RNA, 206 nt
Filed under: Elaeis guineensis (African oil palm)
Lineage: Eukaryota; Viridiplantae; Streptophyta; Magnoliopsida; Arecales; Arecaceae
Description: long non-coding RNA (EGUI_LNC062187)
Source: RNAcentral
CAGCAAAAGCCUGAAUCCUCUCCACUUCUCCAUGCCCCCUCUGCUCCUCUCCCUCCCCUCUUCACGUCCAAGAGGUUGGGCGUCCAUCUGGUGCUUGUCCAAGGUGUAGUGGCUUCCUGAUUAGAAGGCUGCAAAGAUUUGUCAAGAAGCUGCUGCUCCAGCUUCAGAAGAUCUUUUGAAGAUCUUCCAGAUCUGAUUUUUGGAGC